RNAcentral lists this long non-coding RNA (3063 nucleotides) under Fragaria vesca (wild strawberry). RNAcentral's name for it is "long non-coding RNA (FVES_LNC001953)". The record is from RNAcentral. Lineage: Eukaryota; Viridiplantae; Streptophyta; Magnoliopsida; Rosales; Rosaceae.
AAGUGUUUCCAGCACAUUGAAAGUUUGCUCUUUAGUUGAAUUAUGCACUAUCCAUAAAAGGUCCAGACUUUUGUUAGCAUAUAUGAGUGAGUGGCUUGGGGAUCUUGGUCGUUAUUAUUUCUUGGCAUACUGCUAAUUGAUCUAUGCUAAUAUUUCUAAAGGGAAAAGGAGAUUGAGAAAAGCUGUGCUAGCAUUUGGGCAUAUGUAUGAAACUGCAUUGUGGCUGUGCAUGGGCUCUGUGUAGUGGUUCUGUGCAAACUACAAAGCUAUGGUGUUUAGAUAUUGGUGGCUGCAAAUUAAGUUUGGACUCAUAGGAAAUUCAUGCAAAAAAGGUAGAGGAGAGUAAUAUGUACAUAUAUAAUUUUACUUUAGCCAAUGAUCAUGCCAUUGGAAUUAUUGGAAGUAAUAUAUAGAGCUUCGAGAGACAUGAUAGAAAGAAAGGAGAACAGUAGCAAUGUGAAAUAGUACUUCCGGUUUGGGGGUUAUAAACAUGCCGGAUCUGUAUUUGCGAAAGGAUGAUUUAAAGUAGAGCUAAGCACGUUUGGUUUGCCUAUUUAACUUCAACGUUGUAUUCCUUCCAAAAUGGCUGCUUCUUUGAACAUAGGUGACGAGAUUGCUCCAAAUAAGGAAUACCAGGGUUGAUCUGUGCAAUUUUAUCUUUGCUUUUUGUUGCUGGUUCAUUUGGAAGCAGCGGAGUAAAGUGUUGUAUGACCCUAGCUUUGGUACAAGUUUAAGGUAAUGAUCCUAUUCUUUCCACAUAUAGCAGAAUAACAAAUCCUAACAGAAUUAAGAAUAUUCUCUCCUCCUAGUUUUAGCACUGACCCCCAUCUGUACUUUUUAGGGCCAAUUACAUAUAAGUCCAUUUUGAGACAUUUUUUCCCACAUAGGUCCACCCCAACAUUUUUACCCACAUAAGUCCACCCAAGUCUAAAUAAGAUUUUAUAUUAAGUAUUGAAGUUCAACGUAAUUACAGACUGCCAUCCAACAAAAAAAUUAGAUUUUCUCUUUUAUAUUUACAAGAAUGUCACUAGUAUAAAAAGUCAACAACCACUCUUAUUUCAAAAUAGCCUCCGGCCGACCUCCGGCCAGAUUUCCAGCUGACAUCCGGCAAGGUUUCCGGCAGACCUCCGACGAGAUUUCCGACCGAUCUUCGGCGAGGUUUCCGACCGACCUCCGGUGAGGUUUCCGGCCGACCUCCGACGAUGACAAAAAUUACUACUACCAGCUAUAAAAGCUACUACCACGUACACCAGCCUACAAAAGCUACUACUGUGAGGUUUCCGACGAACACAAACUACUACCACCAGCCAUAAAAGCUACUACCACCAGCUACAAAAACUACUACCACCGCCUACAAAAGCUACUACUGUGAGGUUUCUGACGAACACAAAAACUACUACCACCAGCCACAAAAGCUACUAUCACCAGCUACAAAAGCUAUUACUACCAAAUGCUACUACACAAUACCACAAAAGCUACUGCUAAGGAAGUAGAAAGCUACUACCAAGGAACACGAAAGCUACUGCCAAAGCUACGAACACGAAAGCUACGAAUAUGAAAGUUACUGCCAAGGAACAAGAAAGCUACUACUACCAAAUGCUACUACACAAUCCACAAAAGCUACUGUCAAGGAACACGAAAGCUACUACCAAAGUACAAGAAAGCUACUACCAAGGAACACGAAAGCUACUACCAAGGAACACGAAAGCUACUACCAAGGAACACGAAAGCUACUACCAAGGAACACGAAAGCUACUACCAAAGGACAAGAAAGCUACUACCAAAGGACAAGAAAGCUACUACAUAAUACCACAAAAGCUAGUACCAAGGAAGUAGAAAGCUACUACAUAAUACCACAAAAACUACUGCCAAGGAAGUAGAAAGCAGUAAGGCUUAGAUCAAAGAAGAUCGCUGAGGAUGAAGGAAGAGCUCCUCAGAGAUCUUCCGAAGGCUUACCAUGGCUUCAGAUCUUUAUCGGAGAAAUGAUGUAAUCGGAGGAGCAAGAGAGAGAAAGAGAAGAGAGAGAGAGAGAGAGGAGGGGGACCACGUCGUCGGAAUCGGUUUGACCUUCGCGUUGAUGGGAUGCAGUCAAGGCCGAAGCGGAGGUCGUCGAGGAGUCUUCGACGGUGGAUCCAGAAGUCAUCAUCGAGGCGGCGGCGACUUCGUCCCGGCGGCAACGUCGGAAUCGGUUUGACCUUCGCGUUGAUGGGAUGCAGUCAAGGCCGAAGCGGAGGUCGUCGAGGAGUCUUCGACGGUGGAUCCAGAAGUCAUCGUCGAGGCGGCGGCGACUUCGUCACGGCGGCAGCGUCGGAAUCAAAGUGGAAGAAUGGAGAGAGAGAGAGAGAGAGAGAGAGAGAGUAUUAUCGCAAAUGAGAGGAAUAGAUUUGGUGUAAAGAGAGAGGGUAUUUUAGGUACAUUGUAAAAACAAAAUGACAGAUCUAGGCUUAAAAGUGGACUUAUGUGGGUAAAAAUGUUUAGGUGGACCUCUGUGAGAGAAAAUGUCCCAAAGUAGACUUAUAUGAAAUUUUCUAUACUUUCUAAGGGAAAUUAGUGCUGCUCAUUUGAAACACACUAGGUCUCAUACCAAAAAGACAAAUUAGUCCGAGUGUUAAUGCUUUUGGUAAUAAAACACCCAAAAAAGGUUAGAGCACAACCAACAGACGGGAGAAAUACCAAUCAGUACCCAACAACAUUUCCUUUAGCAAUUCAGUCCACAAUAAUUUCAUUUAUGCAGUUUAGUCCUACUCCAAUUUUUUUUUUUUUUUUUUUUUUUUUUUUUUUACUUUAAUUUUCUUUACUUUACCUCGUAAGACUUACUAUCCUAAGAACUAGCCUUUAAUAUGCCAUCUUUUCACUUAACGACACCUUGUCUUUCUGGUUACUAUCCUGGCGGAAUCACUGCUGCCUUAGUAUAGUAAAGCUUCCUAGCACUUACUAGCAAAAUAUACAAAACAUAAGAAUAUAAAGCACACAUGCAAAUUUAAAUAUUUAGUUUGUGACUGAUUAUAGGGCACAAGAUAGAAUUCAUUUAUUCAUGAAUACAAAUAUACAACCUAGAGCCUC